Molecule: ribosomal RNA, 253 nt
Filed under: uncultured bacterium
Lineage: Bacteria
Description: partial 16S ribosomal RNA
Rfam family: Bacterial small subunit ribosomal RNA
Source: RNAcentral
UACGUAGGGUGCAAGCGUUGUCCGGAAUCAUUGGGCGUAAAGCGCGUGUAGGCGGCUUGGUCAGUCAGCUGUGAAAGCCCAGGGCUCAACCCUGGGAUGCCGGUUGAUACUGCCAAGCUCGAGUCCGGAAGAGGAGUGUGGAAUUCCUGGUGUAGCGGUGAAAUGCGCAGAUAUCAGGAGGAACACCAAUGGCGAAGGCAGCACUCUGGGACGUGACUGACGCUGAGACGCGAAAGCGUGGGGAGCAAACAGG